RNAcentral lists this ribosomal RNA (446 nucleotides) under uncultured bacterium. RNAcentral describes it as "partial 16S ribosomal RNA". It matches the Rfam family "Bacterial small subunit ribosomal RNA", at positions 338 to 795 of the family's 1533-position model. The record is from RNAcentral.
CCUUCGGGUGGCAGCAGUCGAGAAUCAUUCACAAUGGGGGAAACCCUGAUGGUGCGACGCCGCGUGGGGGAAUGAAGGUCUUCGGAUUGUAAACCCCUGUCAUGUGGGAGCAAAUUAAAAAGAUAGUACCCCAAGAGGAAGCGACGGCUAACUCUGUUCCAGCAGCCGCGGUACUACAGAGGUCUCAAGCGUUGUUCGGAAUCACUGGGCGUAAAGGGUGCGUAGGCGGUGUCGUAAGUCGGGUGUGAAAGGCGCGGGCUCAACCCGCGGACGGCACAUGAUACUGCGAGACUAGAGUAAUGGAGAGGGAAGCGGAAUUCGCGGUGUAGCAGUGAAAUGCGUAGAUAUCGAGAGGAACACUCGUGGCGAAGGCGGGUUCCUGGACAUUAACUGACGCUGAGGCACGAAGGCCAGGGGAGCGAAAGGGAUUAGAUACCCCAGUAGUC